UGGGGAAUAUUGGACAAUGGGCGCAAGCCUGAUCCAGCAAUGCCGCGUGUGUGAAGAAGGCCUUCGGGUUGUAAAGCACUUUUAUCAGGAGCGAAACGCUGUCGGCUAAUACCCGGCGGAACUGACGGUACCUGAGGAAUAAGCACCGGCUAACUUCGUGCCAGCAGCCGCGGUAAUACGAAGGGUGCAAGCGUUAAUCGGAAUUACUGGGCGUAAAGCGUGCGUAGGCGGUUUCUUAAGUCUGCUGUGAAAUCCCCGGGCUCAACCUGGGAAUGGCAGUGGAUACUGGGAGGCUAGAGUGUGUCAGAGGGUGGUGGAAUUCCCGGUGUAGCGGUGAAAUGCGUAGAGAUCGGGAGGAACAUCAGUGGCGAAGGCGGCCACCUGGGACAACACUGACGCUGAGGCACGAAAGCGUGGGGAGCAAACAGGAUUAGGUACCCUGGUAGUCCACGCCCUAAAGCGAUGCGAACUGGAUGUUGGUCUCAACUCGGAGAUCAGUGUCGAAGCUAACGCGUUAAGUUCGCCGCCUGGGGAGUACGGUCGCAAGACUGAAACUUAAAGG
This 562-nucleotide ribosomal RNA is filed under the name uncultured bacterium. RNAcentral's name for it is "partial 16S ribosomal RNA". It matches the Rfam family "Bacterial small subunit ribosomal RNA", at positions 355 to 907 of the family's 1533-position model. The record is from RNAcentral.